Molecule: ribosomal RNA, 424 nt
Filed under: uncultured bacterium
Lineage: Bacteria
Description: bacterial SSU rRNA
Rfam family: Bacterial small subunit ribosomal RNA
Source: RNAcentral
AGCAGUGGGGAAUUUUGGACAAUGGGCGCAAGCCUGAUCCAGCAAUGCCGCGUGCAGGAAGAAGGCCUUCGGGUUGUAAACUGCUUUUGUUCAGGGAAGAAAUACCUCUAGGUUAAUACCCUUGGGGGAGUGACGGUACCUGAAGAAUAAGCACCGGCUAACUACGUGCCAGCAGCCGCGGUAAUACGUAGGGUGCAAGCGUUAAUCGGAAUUACUGGGCGUAAAAGCGUGCGCAGGCGGCUUUGCAAGACAGAUGUGAAAUCCCCGGGCUCAACCUGGGAACUGCAUUUGUGACUGCAAGGCUAGAGUACGGUAGAGGGGGAUGGAAUUCCGCGUGUAGCAGUGAAAUGCGUAGAUAUGCGGAGGAACACCAAUGGCGAAAGGCAAUCCCCUGGACCUGUACUGACGCUCAUGCACGAAAAGC